GAUGAACGCUGGCGGCGUGCCUAAUACAUGCAAGUCGAGCGAACAGACGAGGAGCUUGCUCCUCUGACGUUAGCGGCGGACGGGUGAGUAACACGUGGAUAACCUACCUAUAAGACUGGGAUAACUUCGGGAAACCGGAGCUAAUACCGGAUAAUAUAUUGAACCGCAUGGUUCAAUAGUGAAAUACGGUUUUGCUGUCACUUAUAGAUGUAUCCGCGCCGCAUUAGCUAGUUGGUAAGGUAACGGCUUACCAAGUCGACGAUGCGUAGCCGACCUGAGAGGGGGAUCGGCCACACUGGAACUGAGACACGGUCCAGACUCCUACGGGAGGCAGCAGUAGGGAAUCUUCCGCAAUGGGCGAAAGCCUGACGGAGCAACGCCGCGUGAGUGAUGAAGGUCUUCGGAUCGUAAAACUCUGUUAUUAGGGAAGAACAAAUGUGUAAGUAACUAUGCACGUCUUGACGGUACCUAAUCAGAAAGCCACGGCUAACUACGUG
This 497-nucleotide ribosomal RNA is filed under the name uncultured bacterium. RNAcentral's name for it is "partial 16S ribosomal RNA". It matches the Rfam family "Bacterial small subunit ribosomal RNA", at positions 28 to 507 of the family's 1533-position model. The record is from RNAcentral.